CAAAUUUAAAAUCUACCUGGUUUCCAGGUCGAGUUGUAAUUUGAAGAUACGUUUUUGACGUUCCGGGUUGAACUAAAUCCUUUGGGAUAAGGUAUCAUGGAGGGUGAGAAUCCCGUAUAUACCAACCRUAGGGAUGUUAUUUAAUACGUUUCUAAGAGUCGAGUUGUUUGGGAAUGCAGCUCUAAAUGGGUGGUAAAUUUCACCUAAUGCUAAAUAUAAGCGAGAGACCGAUAGCGAACAAGUACAGUGAUGGAAAGAUGAAAAGAACUUUGAAAAGAGAGUUAAAUAGUAYGUGAAAUUGUUGAAAGGGAAACGAUUGAAGUCAGUCAUGCCRGUGGGAAUCAACUUAGAGGAAACUCUGAGUGCACUUCUUCGCUUGGCAGGUCAACGUCGAUUUUGGAUGUCAUAAAAUGAUUGGGGGAAGGUAGCUCYUUCGGGAGUGUUAUAGCCCUUGGUAGAUGUGAUGUCUGGGAUCGAGGAUUGCAAUGGAUACCCUUUGGGGCUAGCCGCCUGAUCUCUAAUYGGUAUUGGGUUACGGAUAGCAUGCUGACCGUGAUCUAAUUAUUGGUUAAAAGGUUAG
Molecule: ribosomal RNA, 580 nt
Filed under: Glomeromycotina sp.
Lineage: Eukaryota; Fungi; Glomeromycota
Description: eukaryotic LSU rRNA
Rfam family: Eukaryotic large subunit ribosomal RNA
Source: RNAcentral